AUUUCUUUGAGUUUGAACACUAAUCUAUUGUGUGGAACUGUAUCAAACGCCUUGCAAAAUCCAAAUAGAUCACAUUCACUGCAACACCCUGAUCUAUACUUCUACUUACUAUACUUCUAGGUAAAUUGUGAUUCUCUAUAAUUUAAGAUUAAGUUGUAUUUGUCAUGAUAGGUACCUUUAAUAUGAAUUUUGUCGAUAGGGGAAUUCAAUAAAGUGUGAAAUUAAAGUGAAUUUCAAAUAAGCGAAUACAUAG
This is a non-coding RNA of Pelobates cultripes (western spadefoot toad), 253 nucleotides long. The record is from the annotation of a GenBank genome assembly. NCBI's taxonomy places the organism in Eukaryota, Metazoa, Chordata, Amphibia, Anura, Pelobatidae.